AGGACGAACGCUGGCGGCGUGCUUAACACAUGCAAGUCGAGCGGAAAGGCCCUUCGGGGUACUCGAGCGGCGAACGGGUGAGUAACACGUGAGCAACCUGCCCUUAGCUCCGGGAUAGCUCCGGGAAACCGGAAUUAAAUACCGGAUACGACCACGGCCGACAUCUGCUGUGGUGGAAAGGAUUCCGGCUAAGGAUGGGCUCGCGGCCUAUCAGCUAGUUGGUGGGUAAUGGCCCACCAAGGCGACGACGGGUA
This 254-nucleotide ribosomal RNA is filed under the name uncultured bacterium. RNAcentral's name for it is "partial small subunit ribosomal RNA". It matches the Rfam family "Bacterial small subunit ribosomal RNA", at positions 26 to 285 of the family's 1533-position model. The record is from RNAcentral.